This 243-nucleotide ribosomal RNA is filed under the name uncultured bacterium. RNAcentral describes it as "partial 16S ribosomal RNA". It matches the Rfam family "Bacterial small subunit ribosomal RNA", at positions 334 to 569 of the family's 1533-position model. The record is from RNAcentral.
AAGGCCUACGGGGGGCAGCAGUAGGGAAUCUUCCACAAUGGACGAAAGUCUGAUGGAGCAACGCCGCGUGAGUGAAGAAGGGUGUCGGCUCGUAAAACUCUGUUGGUAGGGAAGAAAGAUAGAGGUAGUAACUGGCCUUUAUUUUACGGGAAUUACUUAGAAAGUCACGGCUAACUACGUGCCAGCAGCCGCGGUAAUACGUAAGUGGCAAGCGCUGUCCGGAUUUAUUGGGCGUAAAGCGAG